Molecule: long non-coding RNA, 537 nt
Filed under: Olea europaea (common olive)
Lineage: Eukaryota; Viridiplantae; Streptophyta; Magnoliopsida; Lamiales; Oleaceae
Description: long non-coding RNA (OEUR_LNC007728)
Source: RNAcentral
CUUCAAUGUUAAAGGGUAUUAAUUAUUCUACUUCAAUGUUAAAGGGCAUAAUUUCUGUUAUAUUUGUUCAGCUUUGCCAUUAUUUAAAGAGACUGUCAUCCAUUUUGACUACUUUGUUUGGUAGAAUUAAUUAAAUAAUUGAGCUAUUUGAAUUGAUACGGAUUACGGAGGAUUAGUAGAUUUAUUUCUUGACCUAUUUUGAUACCAUUUGAAAUCCUGAACCUUCAAGAAGAACCUGGAUAGGCCAUUUAUUUCAUUACAAAAGUAUGGCUCUACAAAAAAAAGAAAGAUAAGUUAGAAAAGGCUUUGAAUAUGAUGAGAUGAAACAACAAACAAUGCUAAAAGGCUUCUCUUUCCAGAGACGCUGCCUUUUUAUAUUCUUGAUAAAGAUCAAAUCAUCUAUUAUUAAUAUCCCAAAAUGCUCAAUACAUUUUAAAAGUGGCCUAUUUGAUUCGAUGUUGGCUUGGCUAGAAGACUGGCCAUGUUUGUAAUGCAGCUUGGUUUAAGAGUUGGAGUUUUCAUUUAACUACUUUCUUG